This 1157-nucleotide long non-coding RNA is filed under the name Monodelphis domestica (gray short-tailed opossum). RNAcentral describes it as "lncRNA (ENSMODG00000041943.1)". The record is from RNAcentral. Lineage: Eukaryota; Metazoa; Chordata; Mammalia; Didelphimorphia; Didelphidae.
CCAAUGGCGUGAAACAAGGCUGUAUCCUUGCUCUGGUACUAUUCAACCUAUUUUUCACCCAAGUAUUACGACAUGCUGUGAUGGAUCUAGACCUGGGUGUCUACAUCAAAUACUGACUGGAUGACUCACUAUUCUACCUUCGCUGCCUGACUGCAAAAACAAAGACAACAGAGAGACUCAUCCUGGAAGCUCUCUUUGCAGAUGACUGUGCUCUCAUGGCCCACCAAGAAAAUCAUCUCCAAACCAUUGUGGACAGGUUCUCCACCGCAACAAAACUGUUUGGCCUGACUAUCAGCCUCAGCAAAACAGAGGUGCUGUUCCAACCUGCACCAGGGAAUACAGCUAACCAGCCAUGCAUUACAAUCGAAGGCACGCAGCUUUCUAACGUCAACACUUUCAAGUACCUGGGCAGCACCAUCGCCAACGACGGGUCCCUAGACCAUGAGAUCAAUGCCAGGAUCCAAAAGGCCAGCCAGGCACUUGGGCUGAUGCGCUGCAAAGUCCUCCAACACAGAGGUGUGAGCACUGCGACGAAGCUCAAAGUGUAUAACGCAGUGGUCCUCAGCUCGCUCCUGUACGGUUGUGAGACAUGGACACUGUACCGGAAGCACAUGAAACAGCUGGAGCAAUUCCACCAACACUCCCUCUGGUCAAUCAUGAGGAUCCGAUGGCAGGACCGAAUCACCAACCAGGAAGUCCUCGGCAGAGCCAACUCCACCAGCAUCGAAGUCCUGGUCCUCCAAACCCAGCUACGAUGGUCUGGACACGUCAUCCGCAUGGACCCACAGCGAAUACCAAAACAGGUAUUCUAUGGUGAACUGUCAGCUGGACUCAGGAAACAAGGCCGACCAAAGAAAAGAUUCAAGGAUCAGCUAAAGUCCAACUUGAAGUGGGCUGGCAUUACACCAAAGCAACUAGAACUCGCUGCCUCUGACAGAAGCAGCUGGCGAACCCACAUUAACCAUGUCGCCACCACCUUUGAAGAUGAACAACGUCGACGUCUUGCCGCUGCGCGUGAACACCGACACCAGGCCACAACUGCACCUCCCGUAACAACUGGCGUCCCAUGCCCCAUGUGCCACACACUCUGCGCCUCAGCCUUUGGACUCCAAAGCCACAUGAGGGUACACCGUAGAUGAAACUGCACAAAGACAAUC